Molecule: long non-coding RNA, 397 nt
Filed under: Mytilus galloprovincialis (Mediterranean mussel)
Lineage: Eukaryota; Metazoa; Mollusca; Bivalvia; Mytilida; Mytilidae
Source: RNAcentral
AAAGCUGUACACAACUCUGCAAAAUUAGGUUAGAACUUCCUGAUCCAACUGAAGAAAUAAGAACCGUUGAUGUUGAAUUUGUGUUCGGAAAUACAGAAAUAAGUGUAAGUGCAAAGGAUCGCAAUUCUGGAAAAGAAAUUAAAACAAAACUCAAUCUUAUAUAAUUUUAUUGCUGUCAGCUGUGUUCUUACUAAGUUGAAAACGUAUUUGUAGCUUUCAUUUGACAUUCUUUUGGCAUUUUACUAAUCGUUUUAUAAAGGUUAUUUAUGAAUUUCUUGUAUUCGGUACCAGAUAUCAUCAAUCAAUUUGAUAAAGUGGAACCAGAGACAUUUACAUAAAGAAAGUUACUCAAGACUUUAACCUUAUCUUUUCUAUAUUAUAUUAGACUGGUUUCUGC